GGUGGAGUGGCUUGAGCAUUGGACUAUGACUCUGGAGACCAGGGUUCGAAUCCCAGCUCAGCCA
This 64-nucleotide transfer RNA is filed under the name Phrynosoma platyrhinos (Desert horned lizard). RNAcentral's name for it is "tRNA-OTHER". It matches the Rfam family "tRNA". From Rfam's summary of the family: Transfer RNA (tRNA) molecules are approximately 80 nucleotides in length. Their secondary structure includes four short double-helical elements and three loops (D, anti-codon, and T loops). Lineage: Eukaryota; Metazoa; Chordata; Lepidosauria; Squamata; Phrynosomatidae. The record is from RNAcentral.